RNAcentral lists this ribosomal RNA (292 nucleotides) under Salmonella enterica. Its description in RNAcentral is "partial 16S ribosomal RNA". It matches the Rfam family "Bacterial small subunit ribosomal RNA", at positions 1153 to 1444 of the family's 1533-position model. RNAcentral also lists the same sequence under 1 other name. Lineage: Bacteria; Pseudomonadati; Pseudomonadota; Gammaproteobacteria; Enterobacterales; Enterobacteriaceae. The record is from RNAcentral.
CAGUGAUAAACUGGAGGAAGGUGGGGAUGACGUCAAGUCAUCAUGGCCCUUACGACCAGGGCUACACACGUGCUACAAUGGCGCAUACAAAGAGAAGCGACCUCGCGAGAGCAAGCGGACCUCAUAAAGUGCGUCGUAGUCCGGAUUGGAGUCUGCAACUCGACUCCAUGAAGUCGGAAUCGCUAGUAAUCGUGGAUCAGAAUGCCACGGUGAAUACGUUCCCGGGCCUUGUACACACCGCCCGUCACACCAUGGGAGUGGGUUGCAAAAGAAGUAGGUAGCUUAACCUUCG